AGGUGCGGCAGGAACAAUCCUCUGAGCUACUAGCAUUAUUCAUUUAGUCCUGUUAAACGGAUUAUUUCUAUUGCUGCAGCUAAUGUUAAAGGUCGAUUGUCCUUGCGCCGACUGAUGCAGGAAUUGUCAAGAGAAGGACGACCGUCUUUUUUCUUGUUCAACUCGAUCUCAAAUCAAGUAAGACUACCCGCUGAACUUAA
Molecule: unclassified non-coding RNA, 200 nt
Filed under: soil metagenome
Description: partial contains internal transcribed spacer 2 and large subunit ribosomal RNA
Source: RNAcentral